This is a long non-coding RNA of Manihot esculenta (cassava), 1698 nucleotides long. RefSeq lists it as uncharacterized. The record is from RefSeq and is a predicted model, not a curated record. The transcript has 2 exons. Lineage: Eukaryota; Viridiplantae; Streptophyta; Magnoliopsida; Malpighiales; Euphorbiaceae.
AGAAAGCUCCAUUGUUUUGCUGAUUGAGCACCUGAUCAAUCAUAUGUCGUUUUCCUCCAAUCCUUUGGUUCCUCAUUUUCAAGGUUAGAUCUUUGUCCCUUUCCCUUUACCUUUCCUCUGUUGCUUGUGCUUUUCUUUCAUCUUCUAUGACUUUGAUCUCUCCUUGGUGCCCAUUUUAUCUUUACCUUUCUGUGUCUUCGCCUUUGUUUCAAAUUUGUGGUUUCCCUCGCACCUUUAGCAGUAUCAUGGAUUUUAUUACUGUCCCCAGAUUUUCCUUUCCGUUUUGCCUUUCUUUCUCCUAUUUGCAGAAGCAAAAAUGCUUGGUGGAGGCUGUGAGGAUGAAACUCAUAACCAUGAAAGGUUUUCUAGUAUUACAUGCAACACAUCAUGGCAAGAACUGACGGGAUAAGCUGGUAUUUGGUGAGGCACAGGGGUUCUCUUAAAGUUAAAUUCUCUAAGGUGAUAUUAUUUUGUUUGCGUUAGUUUAGUCCUAUCUUUUUAUUGUCAAUUUUUUAAUCAGAAAUAUAUUGUUUGCACUUUGGCUAUACGAAAUUCUUGUUGAACAGUGACUAAUUAAUUGUACUUGUAUGCUUAUCAUUGGAUGACGUAUUGAGGCUUCAGCCACUAAGAGAUGGAUCAACUUUAGAGGAAGGUGUUAUAACUAAGGAGUAGAGUACUGACUGACCCUUAGUCACUUUCUACUCUACAUCCUUAGUUACAACAGAAGGUUGAAUCAGGUUAGGUUGCUUUUUAGUAUUAAAUUCUUGGUACAGUAUUAAAAUCUGGUGCUUUACAAUAUUAUAUCAUAUAGCAGUUGGCCUUGACUCACAACUGGGAUUUCAAUCCCCCAUACAUAUUGACUGGCUCCACCCCUGCCCCCACGCUCCCAACCCAACCCACACCGCUGAAAAAGUAAAGAAGGAUGAAGACCAGUGUGAGACAGCUGAAGGGCGAGUACAGUGUAUAGAGGACUUGGUUCAAUGCAUAGGAUGUGCUAAAAUCACUAUUACAGAUUGUAGGUUUCCCUUCAGGUUUUUCAUAUAGUUGACAUGCUGAACUUGUGCAAUACUUUUACAAAUGCGAAGUUUCAUUCAUAUAUACCUGAUUUUGGCGGGGAUCUAAACAAAGGUUUCAUAAUAACUACAGAUUGCCCCUACCUAUUCAUGCUCUGUGUAAGGAAUUCGAAGUUCUAAUCUUAUCCUUUUGUUGCUCAAUUCAUUUAAUGGAUGGCUUGAGCUUCUAGAGAAUAGACUAGAAGACUUCUAUCUUUCAAAAAUUUUGUUGUGCAUAAUAUUGACAGGAUGAGGCAUCUGAAAAAGAGCUCAUCUAUUUUUCUUGUAUCAGAUGGAAAACUCUCUAUGCAAGUUGAGGCUGUUACUUGGGAAUAUAAUUUUUAAGCCUACAGAAUGGAAUUUAACAGUGCAAAAUCUGUCUAUUUCAUGCCCUCAAUACUACACUGAAGUGAUUUCGAAUUGUUAAAUUCCAAGUGCAAAAGGAUCACCAUUUACAAAAGAUGCAUCAAUUGAACUUUGUGGCAGGACUACUAGAAAUCUGCAGCUUAGUCUUGUUAGCGGACUUGACACUUAAGUCUAUGGUAGUCUUGUCUAUUGACUCAAUGGCAUACUGUAACAAAAAUUAUUUGGAUUGUUAUUAAUUGGAUUAUUUAGUAGUUAAAACACGCAAUGGAAAAUUAAAAAG